Molecule: ribosomal RNA, 404 nt
Filed under: Actinomycetes bacterium
Lineage: Bacteria; Bacillati; Actinomycetota; Actinomycetes
Description: Actinobacteria bacterium partial 16S ribosomal RNA
Rfam family: Bacterial small subunit ribosomal RNA
Source: RNAcentral
UGGGGAAUAUUGGACAAUGGGCGCAAGCCUGAUCCAGCCAUGCCGCGUGAGUGAUGAAGGCCCUAGGGUUGUAAAGCUCUUUCACCGGUGAAGAUAACGACGGUAACCGGAGAAGAAGCCCCGGCCAACUUCGUGCCAGCAGCCGCGGUAAUACGAAGGGGGCUAGCGUUGUUCGGAUUUACUGGGCGUAAAGCGCACGUAGGCGGACUUUUAAGUCAGUGGUGAAAUCCCGGGGCUCAACCCCGGAACUGCCUUUGAUACUGGAAGUCUUGAGUAAGGUAGGGGGGGGUGGAAUUCCGGGUGUAGAGGUGAAAUUCGUAGAUAUUCGGAGGAAAACCAGUGGCGGAGGCGGCUCACUGGGCCAUUACUGGCGCUGAGGUGCGAAAGCGUGGGGAGCAAACAGG